AUUGAACGCUGGCGGCAUGCCUUACACAUGCAAGUCGGACGGUAACAGGUCUUCGGAUGCUGACGAGUGGCGAACGGGUGAGUAAUACAUCGGAACGUGCCCGAUCGUGGGGGAUAACGAAGCGAAAGCUUUGCUAAUACCGCAUACGAUCUACGGAUGAAAGCAGGGGACCGCAAGGCCUUGCGCGAACGGAGCGGCCGAUGGCAGAUUAGGUAGUUGGUGGGAUAAAAGCUUACCAAGCCGACGAUCUGUAGCUGGUCUGAGAGGACGACCAGCCACACUGGGACUGAGACACGGCCCAGACUCCUACGGGAGGCAGCAGUGGGGAAUUUUGGACAAUGGGCGAAAGCCUGAUCCAGCCAUGCCGCGUGCAGGAUGAAGGCCUUCGGGUUGUUAACUGCUUUUGUACGGAACGAAAAGACUCUGGUUAAUACCUGGGGUCCAUGACGGUACCGUAAGAAUAAGCACCGGCUAACUACGUGCCAGCCGCCGCGGUAA
RNAcentral lists this ribosomal RNA (498 nucleotides) under uncultured bacterium. RNAcentral describes it as "partial 16S ribosomal RNA". It matches the Rfam family "Bacterial small subunit ribosomal RNA", at positions 30 to 523 of the family's 1533-position model. The record is from RNAcentral.